UCUAGGUCCCCUUGGCUUUCCUUCCAGGUGACAGAGUUAAAACAAAGGAACUUCUAUGAGCAAAGCCACAGAGGAGAUGAUGGCUGGGACCUGCUCAGGGGCUGGGGCAGUGCCACUCAGUCGGAGCAUCCAAUGUGUGUGGUUUGGUGCCAGAUCUUAGCUUGGGAUGCAGAGAUGAGGAGUUUGGAGCCUUUAAACCGGUUUCUAAAAAGAGCGAUGUCCUUCGAUGAGGAUUCCCUCAAUGGUGGUGACAGGAAGGAAAUUGGAUGUGGAAUGUGGAAAGGUGGAAACCUCUACCUUGAACAGGUUGAUGUUGUCGAUCUGGCUCUGGAAGAGAAAGUCGUUGAUAGUCUUCAGCUCCAUCCCUGAGAACAAACACAUGAAGGGCCUUGGGAGCUUCACCCUAAGCCUCAGGUUUCAGUCCCAGGGUUAAGCUCGGAAGUGGCUCAGAUCAGCUCUGGGCCCUCUGAGGGCAACUCUCUUACCUGUCUGUGACAGACUCUGUGUAUUGGGAUUUUGCUUAAUGUUCCCUAAAAAAGAGAAUGGAAAUAGGUCACAAUGGUGGUUCUCAGGCCCCCCAACCCUUCCCUAUCUUCUCUCCCUCCACACUGCACAUCAAGUAAGAAGAGCAUCUGUAUUUGAACGGCUUUGUUUUGCUUUUCACUGUUUAUAGUAUGCAACGGACCCACUUAGAGGGCAGGUGGGUCCAGGAGCCUCCCACGUCUGACUCACGUGCUUGCACGUGGAACCCAAAGCCCUGUAAAGUUUAUGUUUUUCACCCCUUCUCCAGGAGGCCGGGACACAGCAGCCAGACCAAGGUAUGCAGGGCACCGGAGCACAGAGGAGCUGCCCAGGCCACUGGUGAGCCUGAGGCAAAGCAGAGCUGGCGGCUCAGAGCAGCAACACGAGACCAGCUCCCGCCAGGAGCUCCCACAGGCUUUCUGCAGCUUCCACUUCCACAGACACUUUCCAACAAGGGGGUGCCCCAUCAUAAAAGAAGGGGAUGUGACAGGGUCAUGCAAAGAGGCGUGGGAGCUGGAGUCAGAAGAUCCCAGGCUCCCGUGCUGGGAGCAGCCCUUGCUCCGAGCUCUAGUUUAUGCGUCUAUCAACAAGGAUUCAAAUACCAGCACUGCGUUCUCACAGGGCACACAAAACCGCAUAUGCAAGUGCUUCGAACAACCCACAGAACUAUGCCUAUCACGGAAACACCGUGUGUCCAUGUGAUGCUGUAUCCUUAAUAUCCCCCCAGAGCAGCGCCUGAAAUAAAAAGUCCUCAGAACAUGGGCAAAGAACCCAUGGGUCUAAAAAAAGCUCAAGUCAGACAACUCAACUAAGCUACAAAGAACAAGAAUUUUCUAAAUCAAUGACCAAGACCCUUCUUUUUUUUUUUUUUUUUUUUGAGACUGACUCUUACUCUGUCGCCCAGACUGGACUGCAGUGGCACAAUCUCGGCUCACUGCAACCUCUGCCUCCCGGGUUUGAGCAAGCAAUUCUCUUGUCUCAGCUUCUGGAGCAGCUGGGACUACAGGCCACGGCAACACUCCCAGCUAAUUUUUUUGUAUUUUUAGUAGAGAUGGGAUUUCAUCAUGUUGACCAGGCUGGUCUCAAAACUCCUGACCUCAGGUGAACCACCUGCCUCGGCCUCCCAAGGGCUGGGAUUACAGGCGUGAGCCACCACACCUGGCCGACCCUUCUUAAAAACACAGAGAACUGAGGCGUCCUGAUGGGCAUCCAAGGAAAAAGCAGCCCGGCGGGUUUUGCAGGCCGGGGGUCAGCCGGGGGGACGAGGCUCUCACCCCCUAGCACAGCCACGAAUUUCUCCAGCAAAUACAGGAUCUGCUUCAGGUACAUCAGGUUCUUGGCCUUCAAACGCUUCCUGAGAAGAAGCCAACGGACAUUAAGUGGUGGUGCCCUGAUGGCGACUCGCCCCGCCCACCCCAGUGGAAGCCUUGCUGCCCGGUGCCUCUCAAACUGGGUCACAAGCUACAAAUCCUUUCCCAGAGAGCAGGCUGGCCACGGCCCCAGGCCUCAGAGCCAGCGGUCAGUCCCCAGCCUUCCAGGUCUGUGUGCAGCACACACCAUGAUGUGCCUAGGACAUGAAUGGCAUGCAGCUCCACCCCGCCACAGCCCGGGCCAGAGGUGGGAACCAAAGUGCUGCCUCUCAGAGGCCCAUGCAGGGGGCCACCAAGGGACUGUCCCACUACCUCAGAGAGUCACAUCUCACCCGUAUCGCUCCAUGUACUGCAGCAGCUGGGAAUGGGCCUGGCAGAGCUGGGGAAAGAACACAAACCAGGCUCUGAGCAAGCAGCCGAGGGCUAAGGUACUGACAUCUUAGAUUCACCUAGAAGACGCUAGCCCUGGACACACAGGAAGCCACCAAAGGGAGGAGAGGGGGCUGGGUGCAGACAAAAGGUACUGGUUUCCACAGCCCUUAGGCUGGUGGGAGCUAAGAGAAAAGGGAAGGAAGGGAAGGUUUCCUCCAGUGUCCACUGUGGGUCAGAGAAAAAGCAAGAGGCUGAAUUCCUCAAGUAUGGAAUCUCCCUGCUAGUUUCCACCGGGUUGGGAAAAGACCUAGAGUCUACAAAGAGUGAUGGUUCAAGGUCACCAUCACAUCCCAGCCUCAAUUCAGCCCAGGCACAGGUCAGUAGAGCUGGUGGGAUGUCGUGGGGGUUUCACAGUCAGAAACCAGUGGGCACACCCCAGCUCCACACUCAUGAGCUGCAUGACCUCAGGACAGAGCUUGACCAUCUCUGAAUCUCCACGUUUCCAAUGUAAAACAGGAACACCACCCCCAUGGCAGAGUCAGCGUGAAGACCAGAGACACCUGGUGCCAUGCAUGGCGCAUGAUAGGGCAGCAGGAGGAGCCUGCACUGAUCUUGAGCAUUCCUCAAUUCAGUCCCCUCCAGACAACUUCAGUAAUGACAAAAUCCAAUCCUGAGGGGACUUCUGCCUCACACAUGCCAUCUCCCUGGCUUGCAGAACUGGCUGCUGGCAUCCAGGGCUGGAGGGACUCAGGAGCAUGGGGGCAGGUGAGGUGCAGGGAAAUGAGGCACUCUGUCAUAGCGGGGUCCCCAGAGUUCUGGGAUGCACUGGAAAGCCAUGGUCAGCCUCCGAUGAGGUCACCACCUUGACUCGUGCACCCUGUAGCAAGCCCCACCUCCGGAGGAAUUCUUGGCCCAGGUGUCUGGAGGAACCAUCCAAGUCCCUUUACCUCACGGCAGGCCCUGGCCCGGGGAGGGGAGGCCCACGCACCUGGGAGCCGCUGACCUCCACGCUGUGCAUGCUCGUGGUGGUGUCGAUCAGGUUGUGCGCCUCGUCGAUGAUCACCACCUGGUCCUGCAGCCGGAUGCCCGCAGCCUGCCGAGUGGCCGCAUGCAGCAGCAUCUGAUAGGGCAGCACCACCAGCUGGGAGGGGAGAUGAGGCCACCUGAGCAGGGCGGGGCUCCCCUGCAGGAGGCUUGCCUGCCUGACACUGAGCUCCUGAUGUGAGUGCUUCUACUUCCUGCCUGGACUGUGUAGAGACAUUCAAAAAACAGCUUGUAGCAACGGACAAGCUCUCCUCGAGUUUCACAUGAAAAGCCAAUACAUGAAACACAGGAAACUAGGGCUGGUCUGACUCCUGAGUAAACCAAGGGCAGGGCUGGGUGAAGGGAACCCCUGCUUAGCCUUGUCCAUGUCCUCAAGGUCGCCCCGGAGGCCCCCGAGUUUCCACAAAACACCUGAAGACCAUCGGUGCACCAGGAAGCGGCCCCAGCUUCUGCUCCUGGAGCUGCUACUUCCCAGCUGUGUGACUCUGGAAGAGUUGUCUAACCUCUCUGACCCUUGCUUUCCUCAUCUGCAAAAUAGGGUUGACACAUCCUAUUUCAAAGUGAGGGUUAAGGCGUGGAGCUGGGGUAACAAAAAUAAAAGCAACUCUGCAGGUCUUUAGGUGUUUGUUGUUAGGAAAGUUUCCAGUUAAAGGAAUACUCAUAUAAGAAAUAAAAUAUCGGAAAACUGAA
Molecule: long non-coding RNA, 3998 nt
Organism: Homo sapiens (human)
Lineage: Eukaryota; Metazoa; Chordata; Mammalia; Primates; Hominidae
Exons: 2
Source: RefSeq, a predicted model, not a curated record